Long non-coding RNA from Syngnathus acus (greater pipefish), 775 nucleotides. RefSeq lists it as uncharacterized. The record is from RefSeq and is a predicted model, not a curated record. Lineage: Eukaryota; Metazoa; Chordata; Actinopteri; Syngnathiformes; Syngnathidae. The transcript is spliced from 2 exons.
GCUGCCCAGAGAGCACAAAGCUGACGGGGAAGAGGAGGGAUGGAUGUCAGCCAUGGGGACGCCGCCGCAUUGACUGUCCAUCUCUCGGAGUGACUUCCCCUUGUGGAGGUGCUACCAGCGGUGUUCUUACCUGCGAGAAGAUGAAGCACUCCCACAGCCAGGGUGGGCGUGAAGCUGCGGCACAGGCAAGCGCAGACGCCGAUGAGGCCGCUCAGGAACACCAAGGCCAGCGAUACCAGAGGCAAGAGAAACUGGCACCUCCACAAGUCUGCAACAACAUUUAAAACAUUAGGACCCUUAAAUGACAAUUGCAUUGUUGGCUAUAACAGUGAGUCCCCACUAUACUGCAGAUCUUUAAGCUAUCCUUUUAUGUCAUACAGUUCUCGACAGGCAAAAUAAAAUUUAGAGCUGGACGCCUUCAGCGUAGUAUGACAUUGUGCUGCCACAUGCCAGGCAGCACUGAGGUCAACUGGAAAAGAUGCAGUAAAAUUAACAAGAAGAGGCAGAGAAGGUUUGCAUUUUGUAUUUCUCUGUUCCACAAAUUCCAGAAUCUACACUCAAAUCAUUUAAUUAUCAGUUAGCUUUUAAUGGUAGAAACUGGAUCACAAAUAUUUAACAAACUUUGUAUUGGACAUUGGAGCAUGGCGUACGUACAUGUCCUUAGCAGGUCCUCGUCACGAUUGUGGUUUCCAGGGUGUUUGUAUUUUGGCAAGAACUGCUGAGGAAGAGUGAAACGCUCACACUGCCUUUUAAAAAUGGGAUCUAAAAAAAAAAA